UGCCCGGAAUAGGUCGGUCAGCUGUGUAAGCUGUAGUACCCGAAAUGGCGGGUUGAUAAUUUCAAUUUUAGUUAGUAAAGCCUUUUAGUUCACCAGUGAGAGAAAAAUACCCCUUGUUUUCUGGAGUAGGGAUUGAAGUACUUCGAUGGAACCUCACUAAAAUCAAUCCGCCUUUUGGGGAAAUAAUAUAAAGCGACAUGAGAAAUCAUAGACCCUCACCCACCUGAGAGGAACCUAUUCCGGCUACAUAGUCAGUCACCUGGGAGCAAGCGAAGCGUUCCAGCUUCAUUUUCUGUCUACAGCUGUGCUUACAGGAAGCAUGGUUUGGCACUAUCCUCGUGCUCAUUUUCUGGGAACCUUUUGGUUAUACGUUUGAGGAAUGGAUUGGUUUGGGAACACUCAGUUUGGUGAUUUGAGUAACUUUUGUGUUCUAUAUUUCGGACUUUUGGUAAUGCACUAUGUUUAUAAAUUAUUUUUUUCAGAUUGUGCGUACCUUUGUUUUUAUAUGACAUAUUUGUAUGUUAUUGUAUUUGGUUCCCAAACUUUGUAUCUAUGGUAACUUCUUGUGCACAGGAAUAAGCCUAGAGAAAAUUAGGUUUUAAUACUUUAUUAUUGCUUUGAUAUUGGUUUAUGUAAUUCGGGUAAAUUUAUUUUGUAAUAUUACUUGCUUGUUUCCCAAAAAUUUUAUUGUUAUUUGCUUUAUUCCAUUUGUUCGGUUAAUUUAGGUCAUCGUCGGUAUUUAUCACAACUUCAUUUCUAUUUCAUUCAUUGUAUACUUAACUUACUUACUUCAUUAUUGUAUUUUCCCUUAGUAAGGCUUGGUCCUAUUUAUUUGUAUUAUUUUCAUCUUUGUCGGUUUCAUUUAGUUGUAUGUGGCAAGCGUACUAUAACCAUUUGGUAAAGAGGACUCAUGUGAGUUGUACCCUAUAUGUAAGUGAGAGGUAAUUUGUAACAGAUUAGUUAUUGUAGUUAGCACAAAUAUAACUUUUGUAUAACUUUUGUCAUGUUAGAUUCACAGCAUAAUAUGAACUUGCUUAACUCAGAGAUUGUUAAAAAUCUGGUAGUUAUUUUAAUAAAUGUUUAUUUAUUUUGUA
RNAcentral lists this long non-coding RNA (1094 nucleotides) under Diabrotica virgifera virgifera (western corn rootworm). RNAcentral's name for it is "uncharacterized LOC126883940". The record is from RNAcentral. Lineage: Eukaryota; Metazoa; Arthropoda; Insecta; Coleoptera; Chrysomelidae.